GCCCCGCCUCGGGACAAGCUCACGAACAGGGGUGAGGUGCGUGGUCAACUCACAGUUCCCGCGCCUACGGCUCGUCAUCCCCUCGCUUACGCCUCUCCAUACCCGAGUACGUCUCUUCGUCCAUGCUUGUCCCUCUCACCCCUCCUGUGGCCUCCCUGCUGUAAGCCGUAGCCUAGUCGACGUACUGGAGCUGCUUUUACAUUAAGUUGACGCCUGGUUGACGGCGAGGCGAAAGGCGAUACGGUGACGAUCCCUUUCCGAGUUGAUAUGUGUGCUAUGACCAUAAUUAACAUCCAUAAAGACAA
Long non-coding RNA from Maniola jurtina (meadow brown), 305 nucleotides. RefSeq lists it as uncharacterized. Lineage: Eukaryota; Metazoa; Arthropoda; Insecta; Lepidoptera; Nymphalidae. The transcript is spliced from 3 exons. The record is from RefSeq and is a predicted model, not a curated record.